AGUAGGUUCUGACAGUUUCAUCCAUCACAAUACAGGCCUCACCAUGUCACUGCCUCAGACUGAUAAAUGCAAAAUGACAGUCAUUCAUCCGGUGGAAUAGAAGAAGCCAGGGAAAAUACAAUGUGAAGUCACUUAUGCCGUCUGAUAUAGCUUUGCAAUGUGUAUCUUUUCUCUCCUCUAUCUUUUGUUGUGUGUGUGUACAUGCCAGCAUGAUUAUAUUCUUUGCAAAAAUAUAUACAAGACAACACAUUUCCCAAAAAUGAAAAAGUAUGAAUUUAGAAAGAUUAUAGCUACAUUAAAAUGGAUUCAGAUUCUGCUAUGACAUAAAUAGAAUUAGUUAAAGAUUAAGGUUAGAAAGUAAAUGUCACUUCUUAACUUUUUCUCUUUCUUUCUAUUGAGGAGCACAAUCUAAAAUUUGUAGGAAAAUAGAGUAUAAAAGUAAUGUACAAUUAUGGCACUUAUACUAAUUUUUUUCUUUUAUACAACAAUUCUACAAAAAUAAUGACUAUAUGUACACAUUAAAGGAAACAUUUGUAGAUUUACUGAAAAAUAGGUAUUAAUAAUAUGGAUAUCAACAGCUGUGUACCUUUAAUUUAAAAAUUAAAAAAAUAAAAAUAACACAGUAAACUGAAAGUCUCCAUUCUCUCAUCUUCCUUUUCCUAUGUUUAUUUUUAAACAAAUUAUACUGCGUAUAUCAAUAUCUAUUAGGGUCAUUUGUUGACUUAGCAAUAAAUUUGAUUAUUGGUUUAGAUAUCUUACAGAUAUAUGGAAUCUCUAAUAUACACAUUUUUGUUUAAUAUGUUACUGAGAAAGACAGCUCAAGUGAUAGAAAUAACACAGGACGGGAAGUAAGAAGACAGUUCUGGUCUGAAGUUCUUCUCUGACAGCUCAUAAACUAGUUAAUAUAUGUGCCUGUCACAGUCUCCACCAGGAGCUUUAUCUUACUACAGAGUCCAGAUGCAUUAAGCCUGUGUUCUAGCCAUGAUCUUCCUCUGAAGAAGAAAUGAAGAAGAAAUUUAUAUUCUUUUUGGAUAUAGUGUUCUUAGUUGGCAGUUUAAUUAUUAUUUUUACUUCAUCACUUUGUAUAUACAUCAUCACACUUUCUCUUGGCCUAUAAGAUCUCUUCUGAGAAAUUUUACGUUCUACUUUGCUGGAACUUCAUUAAAUAUUAUUUGCAUCAUUUUU
Molecule: long non-coding RNA, 1185 nt
Filed under: Pongo abelii (Sumatran orangutan)
Lineage: Eukaryota; Metazoa; Chordata; Mammalia; Primates; Hominidae
Description: lincRNA
Source: RNAcentral